GACGAACGCUGGCGGCGUGCUUAACACAUGCAAGUCGAACGGAAAGGCCUCUUUCGGGGGGUACUCGUGUGGCGAACGGGUGAGUAACACGUGAGUAACCUGCCUUUGUCUUUGGGAUAACUUAAGGAAACUGGGGCUAAUACCGGCCAGGAGAUCCUGUUGCACGGAUGGUGUUGGAAAGUUUCGCCGGUUGGCGAUGGACUAUCGGCUUAUCAGCUCGUCGAUGGGAUAGUGGCAUACCAAGGCGUUGCCGGGUAGCCGGCCUGAGAGGGUGACCGGCGACAUUGAGACUGAGAGACGGCCCAGACUCCUACGGGAGGCAGCAGUGGGGAAUAUUGCACAAGGGGUGGAAGCCGGAUGCUGCAGCGCCUUGUGCGGUAUGACUCUCUUCGGGUUGUAAACCACAUUCGCUCAUAACUGAGCUUAGUGUGACGGUAGUGGGUAAGGAAGCACCGGCUAACUACGUG
Molecule: ribosomal RNA, 467 nt
Filed under: uncultured bacterium
Lineage: Bacteria
Description: partial 16S ribosomal RNA
Rfam family: Bacterial small subunit ribosomal RNA
Source: RNAcentral